RNAcentral lists this ribosomal RNA (798 nucleotides) under uncultured Gemmatimonadota bacterium. RNAcentral describes it as "bacterial SSU rRNA". It matches the Rfam family "Bacterial small subunit ribosomal RNA", at positions 60 to 865 of the family's 1533-position model. Lineage: Bacteria; Pseudomonadati; Gemmatimonadota. The record is from RNAcentral.
AGUCGAGGGCGCUGGAGCAAUCCAGCGACCGGCGAACGGGUGCGUAACACGUGAGCGACCUACCCGCUUGAGGGGGAUAGCCGGCCCAACGGCCGGGUAAUACCGCAUACGCUUCUUUUCUCGCAUGGGGAGAGAAGGAAACUUCAGGGGCAGGCGGAGGGGCUCGCGGCCUAUCAGCUAGUUGGCGGGGUAAUGGCCCACCAAGGCGAUGACGGGUAGCUGGUCUGAGAGGAUGGCCAGCCACAUUGGGACUGCGAGACGGCCCAGACUCCUACGGGAGGCAGCAGUGGGGAAUCUUGCGCAAUGGCCGCAAGGCUGACGCAGCGACGCCGCGUGCGGGAGGACGCCCUUCGGGGUGUAAACCGCUGUUGCCCGGGACGAAUGGCUUCUUUCGAGGAGCGUGACGGUACCGGGUGAGGAAGCACCGGCUAACUCCGUGCCAGCAGCCGCGGUAAUACGGAGGGUGCGAGCGUUGUCCGGAAUCACUGGGCGUAAAGGGCGCGUAGGCGGUCUGGUAAGCGUGCGGUGAAAGCCCGGGGCUCAACCCCGGGUCGGCCGUGCGGACUGCGAGACUGGAGCACUGUAGAGGCAGAUGGAAUUCCGGGUGUAGCGGUGGAAUGCGUAGAGAUCCGGAAGAACACCGGUGGCGAAGGCGGUCUGCUGGGCAGUGGCUGACGCUGAUGCGCGACAGCGUGGGGAGCAAACAGGAUUAGAUACCCUGGUAGUCCACGCCGUAAACGAUGGGCACUAGAUGCCUGGGGGAGCGACCCUCCGGGUGUCGGCGCUAACGCAUUAAGU